UAGAGUGCUCACCUCAGCAACAUUAAAAUUUGAAUGACAUAGAAAAAAAAUUGGCAUAGCCCCUGCACAAGGAUGGCACAAAUAUUCAUAUAUUUUAAAAAAUGAUAU
Ictidomys tridecemlineatus (thirteen-lined ground squirrel) is the source of this 108-nucleotide non-coding RNA. Lineage: Eukaryota; Metazoa; Chordata; Mammalia; Rodentia; Sciuridae. The record is from Rfam.